AGAAUCUAGCUUUAGGUCGGGGACAACCACGGGAAACUGUGGCUAAUACCGGAUAUGCCGAGAGGUGAAAGGCUAGCUGCCUAAAGAUGAGCUCGCGUCUGAUUAGCUAGUAGGUGUGGUAAGAGCGCACCUAGGCGACGAUCAGUAGCUGGUCUGAGAGGAUGAUCAGCCACACUGGGACUGAGACACGGCCCAGACUCCUACGGGAGGCAGCAGUGGGGAAUUUUCCGCAAUGGGCGAAAGCCUGACGGAGCAAUACCGCGUGAGGGAGGAAGGCUCUUGGGUUGUAAACCUCUUUUCUCAGGGAAGAAAAAAAUGACGGUACCUGAGGAAUAAGCAUCGGCUAACUCCGUGCCAGCAGCCGCGGUAAUACGGAGGAUGCAAGCGUUAUCCGGAAUGAUUGGGCGUAAAGGGUCCGCAGGUGGCUGUGUAAGUCUGCUGUUAAAGAAUCUAGCUCAACUAGAUAAAAGCAGUGGAAACUACAUAGCUAGAGUGCGUUCGGGGUAGAGGGAAUUCCUGGUGUAGCGGUGAAAUGCGUAGAUAUCAGGAAGAACACCAGUGGCGAAGGCGCUCUACUAGGCCGCAACUGACACUGAGGG
Molecule: ribosomal RNA, 599 nt
Filed under: uncultured cyanobacterium
Lineage: Bacteria; Bacillati; Cyanobacteriota
Description: bacterial SSU rRNA
Rfam family: Bacterial small subunit ribosomal RNA
Source: RNAcentral